Molecule: ribosomal RNA, 465 nt
Filed under: uncultured bacterium
Lineage: Bacteria
Description: partial 16S ribosomal RNA
Rfam family: Bacterial small subunit ribosomal RNA
Source: RNAcentral
CUACGGGGCGCUGCAGUGGGGAAUAUUGCACAAUGGGCGCAAGCCUGAUGCAGCCAUGCCGCGUGUAUGAAGAAGGCCUUCGGGUUGUAAAGUACUUUCAGCGGGGAGGAAGGGAGUAAAGUUAAUACCUUUGCUCAUUGACGUUACCCGCAGAAGAAGCACCGGCUAACUCCGUGCCAGCAGCCGCGGUGAAUACGGAGGGUGCAAGCGUUAAUCGGAAUUACUGGGCGUAAAGCGCCCGCAGGCGGUUUGUUAAGUCAGAUGUGAAAUCCCCGGGCUCAACCUGGGAACGGCAUCUGAUACUGGCAAGCUUGAGUCUCGUAGAGGGGGGUAGAAUUCCAGGUGUAGCGGUGAAAUGCGUAGAGAUCUGGAGGAAUACCGGUGGCGAAGGCGGCCCCCUGGACGAAGACUGACGCUCAGGUGCGAAAGCGUGGGGAGCAAACAGGAUUAGAUACCCCGGUAGUC